Molecule: long non-coding RNA, 350 nt
Filed under: Callithrix jacchus (white-tufted-ear marmoset)
Lineage: Eukaryota; Metazoa; Chordata; Mammalia; Primates; Cebidae
Description: lncRNA (ENSCJAG00000077179.1)
Source: RNAcentral
CAAACCAGCAAUUAUUAAUGCUUUGUAUUGUGUACAUCAGACUAUGUAAAUUAAAAGGGAAAUCUAAAUGAAUGAUCUUAAAAUUUAUUUUUUAACACAGCCUUGGAGAAAAAUUAACAAACAUUGAACAUUCUCCAUAUUACAGAUAGCCCUGCUAGAAUCUAGGGAUUCAGAAAGAAAAGGACUGUCCUCUGUGCUUCAGGAACAUUCAAACAAAUGUCUCAGCAAGAAUGCCCUCGUCAGAAAAGGCCCUUCUAUCCCAACCUCCACAACUAACAGGGAGCUGCCUCAACUAGUAUCUGUUGGAAAUGAAGAAGAUGACAAUAUUGCAGAAAAUGAAGAUGCUGGAG